CCUACGGGUGGCUGCAGUGGGGAAUAUUGGACAAUGGGGGCAACCCUGAUCCAGCCAUGCCGCGUGUGUGAAGAAGGCCCUCGGGUUGUAAAGCACUUUCAGUGAGGAAGAACGCCUGGUGGUUAAUACCCAUCAGGAAAGACAUCACUCACAGAAGAAGCACCGGCUAACUCCGUGCCAGCAGCCGCGGUAAUACGGAGGGUGCGAGCGUUAAUCGGAAUUACUGGGCGUAAAGCGCGCGUAGGUGGCUUGAUAAGCCGGUUGUGAAAGCCCCGGGCUCAACCUGGGAACGGCAUCCGGAACUGUCAAGCUAGAGGGCAGGAGAGGAAGGUAGAAUUCCCGGUGUAGCGGUGAAAUGCGUAGAGAUCGGGAGGAAUACCAGUGGCGAAGGCGGCCUUCUGGACUGACACUGACACUGAGGUGCGAAAGCGUGGGUAGCAAACAGGAUUAGAUACCCUAGUAGUC
RNAcentral lists this ribosomal RNA (465 nucleotides) under Vreelandella stevensii. Its description in RNAcentral is "partial 16S ribosomal RNA". It matches the Rfam family "Bacterial small subunit ribosomal RNA", at positions 338 to 795 of the family's 1533-position model. The record is from RNAcentral. Lineage: Bacteria; Pseudomonadati; Pseudomonadota; Gammaproteobacteria; Oceanospirillales; Halomonadaceae.